AUUCCAGCUCCCCUUUCGUCUCUUCCCGUUGUUGCCGUUCCCCCGCUCGUCGUCGGCUUUCGGGGCGGGCCGACCGGUCUGCCGAUGGGUAUGCACUGGCCGGCGCGUCCUUCCACCCGGAGACCGCGCCUACUCUUAACUGAGCGGGCGCGGGAGACGGGUCUUUUACUUUGAAAAAAUCAGAGUGUUUCAAGCAGGCAGUCGCUCUUGCAUGGAUUAGCAUGGGAUAAUGAAAUAGGACUCUGGUGCUAUUUUGUUGGUUUCGAACACCGGAGUAAUGAUUAACAGGGACAGUCAGGGGCACUCGUAUUCCGCCGAGAGAGGUGAAAUUCUCAGACCAGCGGAAGACGAACCACUGCGAAAGCAUUUGCCAGGGAUGUUUUCAUCA
This 388-nucleotide ribosomal RNA is filed under the name Gephyrocapsa cf. muellerae. RNAcentral's name for it is "partial small subunit ribosomal RNA". It matches the Rfam family "Eukaryotic small subunit ribosomal RNA", at positions 582 to 975 of the family's 1831-position model. Lineage: Eukaryota; Haptophyta; Isochrysidales; Noelaerhabdaceae. The record is from RNAcentral.